Molecule: long non-coding RNA, 890 nt
Filed under: Homo sapiens (human)
Lineage: Eukaryota; Metazoa; Chordata; Mammalia; Primates; Hominidae
Description: HSALNT0250145
Source: RNAcentral
UUGAGGUUGUGGUGACUGAAGUCUGCAGAUACCUUGGACAGAUGCUAUGAAAAAUAUAUAUUGUGCAGAGUCUUGAACAAGGUCUUUGUUUGAGAUAGCAAAACAAAGGAACAAUUCUUGGAUUCUUAAAAUCAUAAUCUAAUUUUGGAUUAAACACCAUAUCAUAGAUAUAUUACCCAUGGAGAAGGAAAUCUGCAGGUCAUGCUAAGACUCCCAUUGAGUUCAGCAUCCUCCCCCACCAAAUGGAGGCAAUGGCUUAUUAUGACACAUUCCUUUCUUCUCUCUCGGUUCAUACAUUCGUAUCUCUAGAGGUCAAUUCCAUUCCUACUGCUUAUAGUUACAUAUCCUAUCCUUAUGGAGAAGUUUGCUACAUCAUCUUGAGCAAGAAAAUAACCUUAACUGUGACUUCAAAUUACCUAAAGGAGUCCAUGUUUUCCUAUAUUUUCCUAUUCUCUCAUGAAACUUACUCCCAGAAAGGGAGCUUGUCUAACCGCUCAUGUCCAGGGUCUCAGUCUCUGAAGCAAGAAACAAGACUCCAGGAGGGUGGGAUGUUUUAUCAUGGGCAGCUGCAAUUUAUAAUGACUACAAUAUGUUAUAGCCUUUCUAGUUAUCUGUAAUUUAUACAGCUGUGAUCAGCUCCUGGCUUGCCCAAAGGAAACACACUGAUUCAGAUACAGAUACCUUUAUUUUUGAAGUAUCCCACGUAUGUAUUUCCUAUUCACAUCGGUGUCUUUCCAAAUCUAUGACCUUCAAUUUCAUCUGGUCUACCGGCAUGGCUCUAGCCAGAGCAGCACGUGCACAGACCAAUCUUCGGUCUAGAUUGCACAUGAUGGAGUGAUGAACUGUGAUGUAACCCAUCUAUGAAUCUUUCUACCUUUUCACACACAGGU